This 378-nucleotide long non-coding RNA is filed under the name Setaria viridis. Its description in RNAcentral is "long non-coding RNA (SVIR_LNC006311)". The record is from RNAcentral. Lineage: Eukaryota; Viridiplantae; Streptophyta; Magnoliopsida; Poales; Poaceae.
CCCACAUCGCGUGUCAUGAUCAGGGUACCCCUGCUCCUUGCAAACUUGGUUGCACGCCUGAAUGUCGCAUGGCUUCCCUUCUUGCGAGGGGAAACAAAGGCUAUCUGCACAGUAAUAGCAGCAACAACAAUAAUAAUAAGCAAUAAAAUGAUGAGAACAAAUACUUUCACAAGGCCAAAAAUUUGCCAAAGAGGACCCAAGUAAAAAAAAAGAAAGACACAAGUAAAACCUUUUUCGCCCUGCACGAGAUAGGGUGAUGAUAAGAGCACGGCCAUUGCUAGGAUGGCUAUCAGGAAUAUAGCGAUGUUAUUGUUAUUUUUGAGAAGCGCCAUGAGAUGAGCGAUGGUGUGUUUCUUGUCGGUACUGUGGCUUGUGUUU